RNAcentral lists this long non-coding RNA (14933 nucleotides) under Homo sapiens (human). Its description in RNAcentral is "non-protein coding lnc-ZNF169-7:3". The stretch from base 10090 to 10176 matches the Rfam family "let-7 microRNA precursor family". The record is from RNAcentral. Lineage: Eukaryota; Metazoa; Chordata; Mammalia; Primates; Hominidae.
AGGCCGCCGCGGCGGCGCCCGCCCGCGCCUCCAUCCGGGUCCUGGCGCGGUGCUCUCCCGGCAGCGACGGGCGCGAGGGCCGGGGCAUUCCCACGGCCGCGACGGCCCUCUCCGCGAGCGCGAGGUGGGUAUGGCGGACGCGGCAGCGAGCGCGGGUCCGUCGCCAUUUUAUUUCGCGGAGACUCGCGGCAGCGGGUGGGCAGAAUGGGAGAGCCGUGCGCCGGCCCGCGCCUGUCCGGCUAACGCGGGCUGGGACUGGUGGGGCGGCCUGCCCCCUCCAGCGGGCGGGUGGCCCCGGGGGGCCGGCGGGCUGCUAGCGGAAGUCGCGGGCGCUCGGGGCACGGGGGAGGGGUGCCGCGUGGCCGCCGCGGGGCCGGCUCCAACCCCCUCCGCUUCCCGCCCAGCUCCUCACCGACAGGGCGGGGGAGGGGGGGUCAUUCUUCACAUUCCUUACCCCGCCCUUCCCCCCGCUUCAAUCAAACUUGGGGCGGGCGGAAGGCCCGCCUUCCGGCCGGCGCCUGUUGGCCGGCGCCGCCUCUGACUGUGGCGUGACUGGUUGUAGGCGCCGCCAGGUGCCUCUGACGUCACUUCCGCUAUCAAGUUUGUGGGCCGGGGAGACCUUGGCCUUGGGGGUUGGGAUGAAGGAGGGAAGGUAGGAAGUGCGAGGGGCGGGGGGACAGGGCGGGAAGGCGCGGGCGGGGAGGGCGGGAGAGUCGUGGCUGGCUGCAUGCCCCUGCUCCCCGCGGCCAAGUGCAGCCUCCCUUCCUGAAGCAGCUGCUGCGGCUGGAGGUCCGCUGCGGCAGCCGUCCUUGGCGAGGGGGAGGGGAACGCGGGAGCGGGAGGAAAUCGUAUCCCGGGGGACGGGGCUUGGAGAUUUGCGACUCGGUGUCACCGGAAACAGCGCUGGCCUUUUGAGUCGACGCUGCAAACUCUUGGAACCGAGUGCCUCUCAGAAGGCUUGCUAAUAAACUUCCCGGGCGGGCUCUAGUGUGAGGAAUGUGGUAACCUGUAUGUCCUUGGCCAGUAAUGCCCUUCGGUCUUUCAACUUUUUACAGUAGAUUCUGUGUCAGAGGUAAUGGUAUGUAUUCUUCAACUUACCGGUUUUUAAAAAAUUGACUAACGAGAGGGCGGGCAGACAGGAAAAAGGCAGGGAAGACAGUGAAUGUUAAAAUUUUGAGGUAAAUCAGGAGACUGGUUGAGUUUUGCUUUUUAACUUCAUUGAUAAUACUGCUUUCUUGGCAUACAGUUCCUAAAGUUAAAGCAUCAUGUGGCAUUCCUUUGCAUUUAUUUCUGUUGGCCUGAAGUAUAAGAACAUUGAAUGUCAAAUUCCAAAUUUAUGUGUAGUUUAGGAAAUAAUUGUUUAUAUCCAGAAUUCUUUUGGUGUUUGGCGGGGUCUGGUUUUAUUUACUGUAUAUUCGGGAAGUAUGUGUAGUUAGGGAAGUAAAAACUUGGAAGUUACUUUGGGUUUUGUGAGAAUGUUUGAUUCAUUAUACAUAUUUGUUAAAAGUUUACUUUGAAACUUCAACUUUGAGAAUAGACAAAUUUCUUGACGUCCUGUAAAUUCAGUGGUAUUAUAUAGCAUUUUAAAAUUUAUCACUUAGGUGCAAUUACAGUGUGAGGGGAAAAGUUAACUUUUUUGAAUAGUUACAUUGCAGUGACAGCAAGAGAGUAUUUUUAUGUGUAGACAGGCUGUGGGUUCCCCUCACUUAAAUUGAAGCUCUGUUGAACUUGAGACACUUAAGAAUCUUGCAAGUGUGAAAAGUGGAGUGAAACAAAACCAUUUCUAAAACGAAAAUGUGUAACUGCGUUCAGUUUUACACAGUGAAGAAAUAAGUAUUAAACAAGUUAGUCUCAAACGUUUAUAUCUUAAGGUCAUUUUAUUCCUGUUAUCAUUAACUAGACAUAUCUUGGUUUAGAGAGCAGCACACAAGACAUUGUGUACUUUUAAUAGCUAAGAUAGUAUAAUAACUACUCAUAUGGGAAUUACCGAGUGUUAAGAGCGCCAAACUAGUGUUUCAAACUGUAGGUCCUGAGUUAUAGGGUCAUGAAGUCACUUUAGUGGGUGGUGAUCCGAAUUUUUUAAAAAGUAGAAAAUAUUCCAUUGAAUACAAAAUAGCGUGUUGAUUCAGCUCGACACAUGUGUAUUCCUGUAAAAUAAUCCUGUGAAGCUGAGUGUCAAAAGUUGAAAAACAACUUCUGUAGGGUGUUUUUCUCGUUUAUAGCAUUGUGUAAAGUAUUAUAGUUUAAUAUUUUUUAACGAGUAUUAAAUGGGCUGUUUAUAUUUGGUGGAACAUGAGCCACCUACUUUAGUUUCACAAGUUGGGAAGUAAAUUUGCCAUCCAGGACCAGUAUGCGUUUUAAUCAUAGUAUUUUUAAUAGCCUGUGAAGCUUUUCUUUAGACCAUAAGAGGUCUUUUCCAUCCCAUAAUAUUUAUUGCCAAUUAUUUAUCCAUGUCUAGAUGAGACUAGAAGAAUCCGAAUCCCCAGUAAUGAGUUGUCAGCAUUGCUUAAUGUGACCUCAGGACUGAUCAUCAUAUGCUUUUUGCCUGUGUAGGUGUUCUAAGCGUUGUAUAAUCACUUAAGAAUGGACUUCAUUAAAUAGACAAAAUAUGAGAGCCAUUACACUAUUUUUGGUAUUAAGUCUUUGAAAUCCAGACUGUUUUACACUUGCAACACAUACACUUGGGGCUAAUCACAUUUCAGGUGCUCAGUAGCAACAUGUGACUAACAGCUACCAAAUGAACAGUGCAGUUCUAGUGCACUGUUUUUAAAAAAAUUAGAUUUUUUUUUAAAAUUAGAUUUCUCUAGCUGAAUAGUUGUAGUUUCAGAUAAACAGCCAAAAAUGUUCUGUCUCUCCACAGCUUCAUCUCAAUUGUGAAGAAAUUGCAUUAGGUGAUUUUUUUUUUUUUUUUUUUUUAAAUAAUAGAAACAACGUCUCACUAUGUUGCCCAGGCUGGUCUCCAACUCCUGAGCUCAAGUGAUCCUUCUUCCUCAGCCUCCCAAAGUGCUAAGAUUACAGGUGUGAGCCACCGGGUUCCUGGCCGAAUCAGGUGAUUUCUUAGGCCCUUUCUAAAUACAAGGUUUAAGUGUUUUGAGGCAGCCGACAGCUAUACCUUUAAGUCUCUUGCUUCUCUAAGAAUAAGACAUUUUGGAUCAUUUGUUCUACCAUAACGUAAUGAAUACAAGUUGGGAGCAUUUUGCUCUUCUGUUAAGCACAGUUGGCCUUCCUGUCCAAGGAUUUUUGCAUCCUUGAAUUCAACUAACCUCAAAUGGAAAAUAUUUGGGGGAAAAAAAGUAUGUACAACAAAAAUAAUAUGAUCAAAAAUAAUACAGUAUAACGACUAUUUACAUAACUUUUACAUUGUAUUAGGUAUUGUAAGUAAUCUAUGUAGGAGGAUGUGUGUAGGUUACAUGCAAAUAUGACACCACAUUUUAUAAGGGACUUGAGCAUCUGAGGAUUUUCCUCUGGGAGAAGGAGGUAUCCUGGAGGCAAUCCCCUGAGGAUACUUUUCUACUUUGUGUGAAUUUUUCAUUAACAGGAAGUUACAGUACUUUUCUGGUCACCUGAGAAACCCACCCCAUAUUUUUAUUAGCCAAAUAUAUAAUUCUCGAAUGCUUAGAAUUCAUUUCUUAAUGAUUUCACUGUUGUGCAGUAUAGACUGUGAAUUGCCUACUAAGGAUACAGUUAAUUAUAGUAAACUGUGGAAUCUAGAUUAAAUAAUUACACCCUACUUUUUUUCUUGGCUUGUGGAUGUGUAGACUACAUAGUGGUUUUUUCAACCCAGGAACAUAACAGUAUAAUGGAGGAUAGGAAGGCAGAAGAUGUUUAAAGGGUUGAGAAAUAAUGGUAUAUGUAUAAUGGUCAGUAAGCAGAACAAGCCAGCCAAGUUGGAUAUUCUUCAAGACUAUCUUAAGUGUCUGCUAUGUGUCUAAGUGAAAGGAAAUAAGCAAUAGUCCUUUUGGGAAACCUGACCUAGUACUUAGCUAUUUCAGACUUAAUGUGAUGUUUGAUAGAGUAGGAAAUAAGAUCUUAAAUUAGAAUUAGGUUAAAUUGCUUUAGAGAAACUUAUUUAUAAAUGUAAAGAAUUUAUUAUCUCAUGUGUUGCACAUGCUCUAUCGAAGGGAGCAAAAUACUAUUGGAGAGUUUGCUUAUUAAUGUAAUACUCAGCCUGCAUCAUUGUCGGAUAAUUUUGUUGAUAAUUCAACUAUUUGAGAUUGAAAGAAAUCUGUUAAAGUAGCCAGUGUUGUAAUUUUGAUCUGUGUUUGAUUACAGCGUAUGAAACAAAAAUGAGACUGGAGGAAAUAGUUUACUUGUGAACUUUUUGAGCUACUUUGUUUUAGGAGUAUUUAAAUUAAUGUAAAAGUGUAGGGAAAUGUCUUAGCUCAGAAAAUUUAAACUUACUAGAUAUUAAGUGCUUAAAAGGUAGAGUAUGCUUGCAUUUCAACUAAAGUUUAGAGUGUUUUAGGAAAUUAGAGGCUAUUUUAAAAAAUAUUUUGAAGUUAGGAGUGUGUUCCUAAGUGUUUUCACCAUAAGAAAAUAAGUCUGUGGGGAUAGUACAUAUGUUAAUUAACUUGAUUUAGCUAUAAUAUAAACCUAUUUUAUGUACACCAUAAAAAUAACAAUUUUUAUGUCAAUUUGAAACAAAUUCAUUACAAAAAUGAAAUUAGGAAUGUGAAUGUUAAUAAGUUAUGAAAACUUACUUGAUGUAAAUGUAGAUAUAGACAAGUCUAUAACUAAUAGAUUUGCCUGCUUUGUAGCAUGCUUUAAAUUGAUAAUAUUUUUAACUAUCACAAGUAUAUCUGGAAAGGUAAAAUUCCUGUUAGGAUAGUUUGUCAAAUUAAUUUAUUAAGUACAGUUGCCAUUUGUUGAGUUAAUUUCUCAGUCAUUCAAUAUCUUUGCAUGUAUCCCAGUCCUGACAGCAACCCCAUGAGGUGUGGCUGUUACAGUUCCCCCAAAUGGCGAUGAGAGAACACAGCCACUAAGUAGCUGCUUGGCUGCUUGACCCUGAAACCAUUGCCCUUAACCAUUUUCCUGUACUGGUAUGCUGAGCUGAAUGAAAUGAAGAUACAUUUUGUGUAAGUUGAAUUUUGACUUUUAGUUGCCAUAAAUUAAUUAAAUAAUUUAUUAUUGUAUAUAUUUUUUUGAGACAGUUUUGCUCUUCUUGCCCAGGCUGGAGUGUAAUGGUGCGAUCUUGGUCUACUGCAACCUCUGCCUCCUGGGUUCAAGCGAUUCUCCUACCUCAGCCUCCUGAGUAGCUGGGAUUACAGGUGCCUACCACCAUGCCUGGCAAAUUUUUGUAUUUUUAGUAGAGAUGGGUUUUCACCAUGUUGGCCAGGCUGGUCCCAAACUCCUGACCUCAGGUGAUCCACUCGCCUGGGCCUCUCAAAGUGCUGGGAUUAUAGGUGUGAGCCACUGUGCCUGGCCAGUUGCCGUAAUAUAUAUAUAUUUUUUUUGAGACCGCAUCUUGCUCUGUUGCCCAGGCUGGAGUGCGGUGGCAUGAUCUCGGCUCCAUGCAACCUCCACCUUCCAGGUUCAAGCGAUUCUUCUGCCUCAGCCUCCCGAGUAGCUAGGACUACAGGCGCAUGCCACCAUGCCUGGCUGAUUUUUUUAUUUUUAGUAGAGAGGGGGUUUCACCAUAUUGGCCAGGCUGGUUUCGAACUCCUGACCUCAUGAUUUGCCCUCCUGGGCCUCCCAAAGUGCUGGGAUUACAGGCAUGAGCCACUGUGCCUGGCCAUUUGCCAUAACUUUUAAUGAGAGGGUAGUUCCAGCUACAGAUUGAGGUAGUAUGUGAAUAAGGAUAGAAAGUGGAUAUAAAAGUAUUUUUGUUACUUUUUAAGAAAGAAUUAUCAGAAGGCUCAAAUUCUGAUAAUUUUAGCUAAUAGUAUUCUACCUAAGAAGUAAACAAAGGCCCAGAAAUUAGAUGAUAUGUCCAAGGACAUAGUAAAUGGGGAGCCAGCAUUAACUGUAGACAGAAAAACUUCAAGUCCUAAAUGUAUACUAGCUAUCAACCCACUCUUUCCCAGUACGCAAGCAUUACAUAGUUGUGAUUAGUUAGUUAGGGCUUUUAAUUAACUUCCAAAUGAAUAUUUCCAUGGGUUCUUGUAAUCCAUAAAUUCAUGGAUUAUGUUCAGUGUUUAUGAGAGCUGGCCCUAACUGAACAUUGCUCGGCUGUUUGGUUUUAGUUUCCACCAUUUGCUGUAAUCAGUGUUUUCUAAACUGCAGGCUGGGAACCAUUAGAUUAUAAAAUCAGUUCAUGUAUAUAAUAAAAUAACAUAUUAGAGUAAGUAUUGAUUUGUGAACAAUAUUAUUUAUUGGAUUACUUAUAUACAUAUACUUUUCAAAAAAUUGAGGGUCAUGUUAAUAGCACUUGGUAUGUAAAUUACCAGAAUGCUUUCUAGCAAUAUGGUAUUUAUUUACAUAGCUGGAUUGAGAAAGAAUAAUACAAAGUAAGCAUGUGACACCAAGGUUGGAAAAAAAAUGUGUUUUUGAAUGUUUGAUGAGGAUUCAAACAUGUUUUAAAUGAGAAAAUCGGUAGGAGGUUGAGGAUUGUAGUAGAAGUACCAGAUGCUUUUUCUUUUAGCUGUUUUUUUUCGUUGCUGUUGUUUGGUUGGUUUUGGUUUUGGUUUUUUUUUUUUUUUUUUUGGCUGUUAUUGUUUUAAAAGUAAGGACUAGGCCGGGUGCAGUGGCUCACGCCUGUAAUCCCAGCACUUUGAGAGGCGAAGGCAGGCAGGCAGGCAGAUCACCUGAGGUCAGGAGUUCGAGACCAGCCUGGCCAACAUGGUGAAACCCCGUCUUUACUAAAAAUACAAAAAUGAGCUGGGCGUGAUGGUGGAUGCCUAUAAUCCCAGCUACUUGGGGGGCUGAGGCAGGAAAAUCGCUUGAACCCAGGAGGCGGAGGUUUCAGGAGCCAAGAUCACACGGUUGCACUCCAGCCUGGGUGACAGAGCAAGACCUCGUCUCUAAAAAAAUAAAAGUAAGGACAGUGCUGAUUCAUGGGAAAUAUUUUGGCUUAUAAAGGGCCUGACGUUAGGGACAAGUGUGUCUGUGAGUUCCUAGUUUGCAUAACCUGGCCUUGUAGAAUUGAAAUGGUCUCAAAUGUAGUAUAGUUUAGUGAUGCAGUACUGUCUCUAAUUUGGGGCAAGUUAUUAAGCUUCUUACCACCAGUUUUCAUCUAGAGAUGAUGAAGUAGUUGGACCUUACAUAUUUUGGAUAUAUGGUAUUAAUAAAUCUUUCCCUUUUUGUUACAGACGUGUUGAUACUGCAGCUAGGAAAGCUGAGGGACUUCGGCUAAAUUUCUUUUGCAAGAUUUCAAUGGCAGAGAAUUAGUAGGGCCAGGAUUUGAACCCUGGUUUUUAUUGACUCCAAAUGAGUAAUGCUGUGAACAUUCAAAUACACGUUUUUUCAAUUCUCUUGCCCUUUUUUUUUGCGGGGAGGGGCAGGGUCUCACUCUCUUGCUCUGACUGGAGUGCAGUGGUGUGGUCAUAGCUUACUGCAACCUUUAACUCCUAGGCUCAAGCAAUCUUCCUGCCUCAACCUCCUGAGUAACUCAGCUGGGACCAUAAGCCUGCACCACCACACCCAGCCAUGUUCAGUUCUCUAGAGUAUAUACCUAGAAAUGGAAUUGCUGGGUCAUAUGGUGAACUGUUUUUUACUCAUCACUAACCAGUUCUGACACCAACAAUCAAUUCUUCAACUCGACACCAACAGAGUGUCCUACAAUUAAAUUUAAUUCUGAAACUACCUGAAGUUAGUACAAACUUCACAGGUUGAGGGCUCAAACACGUAAGACUGCCCCCGCUUCAGAUGCAGGUUUCUACCUGAAUUUUUAACCAACCAGCUAUAAAUUAGGGGGUUUCACAACCUCUUCCACUGGGUCUAUAAUUUGCUAGGAUGGCUUACAGAACACAGGAAGACACUCAUUAUCACUGGUUUAUUAUAAAGGAUUUAAAUGAAUAGCCAGAUGAAGAGGUCCUUAAGCUGAAGUCCAGGAGGGUUCCUAGCACAGGAGCUUCUGUAUCUAUGGAGUUAGGGUUACACCAGCCUCCUGGCAUGAAGAUGUGUUUUUCAACUCAGAGCUGUCCAAACCCUGACACUUAAGGGGUUUUUAUGGAGGUUUCAUACUUAGGCAUGAUUGAUUACAUUAUUGGCCUUUGAUGAUUGGCUUACUCUCUGUCCUCUCUGCUUUACCUGGAGGUUGAGGGGGUGAGGCUGAAAGUUCCACCCCUCUAAUCACACCUUGGUCUUUCUGGUGACUAUCCCCCUCCUGAAACUACAGGAGCCACCAAUCGACUCAGUAGCAUUAAACAGACAUUCAUCACUUAGGAAAUUCUGAGGGUUUUAGGAGCUGUAUGCCAGCCAGGAUCUUCAAAUGGAGACAAAGACGAAAUACGUGUUUCUGAUUCCACUUAACAACUGUUUGACUUGUCUACAAGUUUUGUUCUCCAAAGCAGCUGCACCAUUUCACAUUCCCACCAGCAAUCUAAGGGUUCCAAUUUUCUCCGCAUCCUUGUCAACACUUUUAUUAAUCUUAUUAGCCAUCCUAAUGAAUAAUGUAUCUUUUCAUGUGCCUGUUGGCCAUUUGUGCUUAUGAGUCAUAUCUUUGGUGAAAUAUCUAUUAAAAUAUUUUACCAUUAAAUUAGGUUGUUUUAAGUUACUUUAAUGUGUGUUUUGCACACCAGUUUACAAAGAAUGCAGAUCCAUUUUUUUUGCAUGUGGCUAUACAGCCGUCAGCAUUAUUUGUUGAAAAAACGAUUCCCAGUUGAAUUGUCUUGUCAUGGUUGAAAAUCAGUUGACCCAUGUAUGGGUUUAUUUCUAGACUUUAAAUUCUAUUAUAUUGAGCCGUAUGUUUUUUAUUACGUUUUGUAAUUUUAAAAAUUAGUGCUUUUGGUUACUAAAUCACUACAAAAUAAAUUUAGUCCCUAUCUUAAAAGAUAAUCUUCGUAGUAGCUACCUCCUAAAUAUGAAGUCUGUAAAUUAAAGGGUAAUAAUACAGUUUAGAUUACUUGGGUUUAUUAAAGAUUUUGGACUCUGCCUUCAAUCCACAUAUUACCUUUCUAUCUAAAGGAAAGGAUCCUGACCCUGAAUCAGAUCCAGGUGAUUAUCUUUGAUUUAGUCCUAAUAAGACCACUUAGUGUUUGCUCGCAUGGGAUAAAUGAGUAGGUUCCUUUAAAAAUUAGUUUCUAUUUGUGUGUGUUUUUUAUAUUAUCUCGUUGUAUGUUAGUGCAUUUGGAUUAUGCAUGAUGUACAGGACUUUUGGGUUUUGAAGUCAUUGGAUUUUUAAUUAGAGGCUGUCAUGUUUUUCUGUAAUGAUUUUUUGUUGUUUCUUGAAGGAUAAGUUAUUUCAUGCAUUUUCAUUUGUAGGAACUGUAAGAAAACCAGCAGUUAAUAAUAGUAAAAGGUGGUGGUAAGAGGGUGAUUUCUGAAUCUUGUAAAUACAUGGUUUUAGGAGCGGAUUCAGAUAACCAAGCAUUUAAAAUACUAUUAAUGAAAUACAGGAAAUGAAACCACAGCAUAGAUUAUGCAUGUAGCCAAAAUGUUCAGUUAAACUUCAUUUUCAACGUAAGUGAAUGAAAAUGGUCUAAUACUAUUUUUCUUAUCACUCACACAGGAAACCAGGAUUACCGAGGAGGAAAAAAAGCCUUCCUGUGGUGCUCAACUGUGAUUCCUUUUCACCAUUCACCCUGGAUGUUCUCUUCACUGUGGGAUGAGGUAGUAGGUUGUAUAGUUUUAGGGUCACACCCACCACUGGGAGAUAACUAUACAAUCUACUGUCUUUCCUAACGUGAUAGAAAAGUCUGCAUCCAGGCGGUCUGAUAGAAAGUCAGUUAACUAAUUGUACAAUAUUUAAGAUUAACUUGUCUUAAAGAGAUGUAGUGCAGCAUUUGUUUAUGGCCUGGAAAUAAAUUAAUUUAGAGAUAAAGUCUGUAGCAAGUACACUGGAUGGGGGUGGGGAAACCUUUUGCUUCUUGUCUUAUUUCUCUGUGUCAGAAUAAAUGUAUUUUUUUAUUUUGAUUUAUGCUGAUAAUUUUAUGUUGAAAUUUUCUUUCGAAAGAGAUUGUACUUUCCAUUCCAGAAGAAAACAUUGCUCUAUCAGAGUGAGGUAGUAGAUUGUAUAGUUGUGGGGUAGUGAUUUUACCCUGUUCAGGAGAUAACUAUACAAUCUAUUGCCUUCCCUGAGGAGUAGACUUGCUGCAUUAUUUUCUUUUUAUUUAGAUGAUAUUAAAACUCAGAAGAAUUAAUUUUGACAUUUUGUAUUUACAGUUUAUCAGUUAAUUUUCUCUGUUCAAGUAGUACAGUAGGCACAGAUUAACAUUUAAAUUUUUCACAUAUGGUAUAUUUCAGAAAUUUGAAGUUAAGCAAAAAUUUUAAUGAGUAGAGAAAGUAAGUAGCCUUCAGGAAAUCUUCAUAGAGGACCAGGCCCUUUUGGAAUUGUGAAUAGGUUUAUUGCCUUACAUCCUGGUACACAUGUCCAAGGUCAGGUCCUGGGUGGUAAAGGUAAAUACAAAUUGGAAGGGCACUGUGUGAGCCAAAAUGAGUCAGAUUAGUCAUGAUUCAUUUCCAGUUUGGGUUUUGGGUGGUCUUGGAGAAUGUUGUAAGCACUGCUUCAUUGAUAGGUUGAUUGAGCCAGACUUUACUCAGCAGCCUGGAAAAGGAGAGAUGGGCUCUGGGUUCUACCUUUGCUCACUGGUAAGUUGCUAAGAUUUCAGCUUUGCCCUCAAACCCUGAAGUAGUCCUUCAUUCACACAGUGGGAUCACUCGAAAAUGUCAGAUGGGGAAGUCCAUAGGUUGUUACUUUAAAGAAAAUAGAAAAAAUGCUGGAAAAGGUUUCUUCAAUUUUAAUACCCAUGAAGGCCCAUGUUUUAGCUUUCCUCCGAUGGGCAAACCAUACACUAACUUGGGCCUUGUAAUCAACAAGCAAGGCUAAAAGCUCUCUAAGUGCUUGCUGUUUAAACUAUUUUGUGUUGGAAGAAGAGUUGGAAAAGAGGCAGUGUGGAGGUGAGGGAGAAGUUCCCUCCCUCCAAUCAUUUCCAAUAAAUGGAAAUUUAAGGAGAAAUUUGUGUUUAUCCUUAAUAUCUAAGAUAAUCACUGUGCAGUGCCAUUGGUACUUUUCAUGAGAGUAGAAACAUCAAACUUCCUUGGAUGGGCCCAACCCAGGUGACUUAACUCUGGACCAAAUGUAUGCUUUUUGUUUUAUCCACUGUGGACAGCUGCAUAGAUAAUUGGUCUUUGUUCUAAACUGCACAUAAAAACAUGGGAGAAAAUGACAUUUGUUGCCUUUUGAUGUGCCAAAGAAGAGUGGGAAUGUUCUAAGAAUUCUUUUUGGCUUAAUCUUUGUUGAAUUGAAAAUAUGUAUAACUCUUCUGCUGAAAGUGUAGCAAGUACAGUCAUGAAAUUUUGUGGUCUUCCUGACAUGUUCUUCCAGCAUAACGUUGCCACCUUCAGUUGGAAACGUAUCCUUAUCUAAUAAUUAAGCCCUGGAGAAAAAUUAAUUUAUAUAUUUUAUUAAUUACAUAAGGACAUUGUUAUUAGCUAAGCAGAGUAAGUAAAUCGAAAUAAAACUUUAAAAAUGCCUUUAUGGAGAGAAUGACUAUCUCUGAAAGCUUGUUUUUAAUGAUGAUAAAAUUCAUGAUCAGAAUUUGUUUCUGUUUGCUUUAAUUCAGGGGUCAAAAACUGAAAUACCAUCAGAGGCCCAGGAGGGGCUAGUUGUAACUGGCAAAUAUAGUAAAUUAAUUUGCUCUGGUUGAUAGGUAGCAAGCAGGGUUUAUAUACAUUGUCACCUACUUUUCCAGUUAACAGGAGAGACUGGAGAUUUUAUGAAAUUUGAUAUUUAAAUGUUGGUAACUGGGUUGGGCACCAUGGCUCACACCUCUAAUCCCAGCACUUCGGGAGGCUGAGGCGGGUGGAGCACCUGAGGUCAGGAGUUAAAGACCAUCCUGACCAGCCUGGUGAAACACAGUCUCUAAUAAAGAUACAAAAAUUAGGCCGGGUGUGGUGGCUCAUGCCGGUAAUCCCAGCACUUUGGGGAGGCCAAGGUGGGCGGAUCACCUGAGUCAGGAGUUUGAGACCAGCCUGCCUAAAUGGUGAAAACCUGUUUCUACUAAAAAUACAAAAAAGUAGCUGGGCGUGGUGGUGGGCGCCUGUAAUCCCAGCUACUCUGGGGGCUGAGGCAGGAGAAUCACUUAAACCCAGGAGGCAGAGGUUGCAGUGAGCCGAGAUCACACCACUGUACUCCAGCCUGGGUGACAGAGCGAGACUGUCCAAAAAAAAAAUUGAUAAUUAAAUGUUAAAAGUCAGCGACUCCAGUAAUACGUGGUGGGCUGAGUAUUAGACUACUGGCUUACAUCCUCUGAUGUCAUUACUUUCUUGUUCGUUUGUGACUUGAGGUUGGAUUUUAAGCAAAUGUAUUUGUGGCUUUUUACCAAGGUCAUAUGGCCAGAUAACUUUUCAAAAGCAUUAGUUAAAGAAUUCUGAUUAGUUUGAAUUAGAAACAAAACUCAAAGAACAUGACCUAAUUUAACAGGUUAAUUUGAAGUGCAUCUGCCAAGUAGAAGACCAGCAAGAAAAAAAAAAUGGGUUCCUAGGAAGAGGUAGUAGGUUGCAUAGUUUUAGGGCAGGGAUUUUGCCCACAAGGAGGUAACUAUACGACCUGCUGCCUUUCUUAGGGCCUUAUUAUUCACCGAUAACCUGUUUCCUUGCUACUUUGCUUUGGUGUAAGCAGAGUUCUUUCUGUAGGUUUUUUCAAAUGAAAACAUUGCAAGAAUAUCAAAGAGAGCAGUGUUUGCGUUAGUGAUUAUAAACUGCAGCAUGGUGCUGACAUUGAUAACUGAAAGUCAACUAAUGAGAAUUUGAGACUUCUGAAGUACACUUAGUUGCUAGUGUCUCCCUUUUGGUGUCACUGGAAAGUUUAGAAAGCAUGGUUUUGUUUUUGCUCAGGUUUCUCUUUCUGUGAUGCAGAGACUCUCAGCUGUUCCUCCUCUAUGUCUACAUUAUGUCUGAAGGAAAGAAUUUAACAAAACUUGAAAUACUGCUGUUUUUCUACAAUGUUUGUAAAUAUUUAUCUUGCUGCUUUUCUAGGUUUGUCUUCUGGAUUUAAAAUUUGGGGCGGCUGGGGUGGAAUUGCAUGGUUUGGGAAUGGGUAAUUGAGCUGCUGCUCAUUAUGGUAUGUAACAGUGAUUUGUCUGUUUAAUAUGUACAAGAACUGGAAGGUCAAUAAAAUGAAAGUGGUUGUCUUGACUGGGUAAUAGUGUUACAUAUUUUGUUAAAAGUUAUACAUCUUUUCAAUAAAAACACUGCAUACUUCAAAACUAGUGCUUUUUAAGUCAUCCUUAACCCUUAUCCCCAUCCUUGCAGUAGUAGAUGCAUUUUUCAUUUGUAAUUAUUAUGAUUUGUUCUUAGUUUCAUUUUUCAUUAGCAAUAAUUUGGUGAUUGGAUGGUCAUUUACAGAUGUUUUAAUAAAGCUAACACGAGCAAUUUCCAGCUCUUCCAUUUUUGUAAACACUUGUGUGACUUUGUACAGACAAUUAACUGCUCAGGAUCACCCUCCUUUUUGUUUUGUUUUUGAGAUGGUCUCAUUCCGUCACCCAUGCUGGAGUGUAGUGAAAUGAUCACAGCUCACUGCAGCCUUGACCUCCCGGACUCAAGCUUCCUAGUAACUGGGACUACAGGUGCAUACAACCAUGCCUGGCUAAUUUUAUUUUUGUAGAGACGGUUUCACCAUAUUGCCCAGACUGGUCUUGAACUCCUGAUUAUCCUCUGGCUUUUACCUCCCAAAGUGCUGGCCAGGACAGCCUCCUUUCUUUACUUGAGUAAUUAUUUGAGUUUGCUCAGGCAGACACUACCUUGUAAAAACUCUUAUGUCUCAUUUCACUAGUCUAGUUUGAGCAUUUAUCAUUCUAGGAAUGAGACGAAUUUGUGCAUUAGCAUUCCAUCUUUUUCCAACUACUAUGAACAGUAGUAUUUUUUUUUAUUUUAUUUUAUUUUUUGAGACAAAAUCUCACUGUUUCCCAGGCUAGAGUGCAGUGGUGUGAUCUCAGCUCACUGCUGCAACCUCCACCUCCUGGGUAGAGUAGACAGGAUUUAGGUAAUUUUUUGUAUUUUUAUUAGAGACAGGGUUUCACUAUGUUGGCCAGGCUGGUCUUGAACUCCUGGCCUCAAGUGAUCCACCGGCCGUGGCCUUCCAGAGUGCUGGGAUUACAGGUGUGAACCACCCUUGCCUGAUCAUGAGCAGUAAUACAUUUAAAAGUCUCCAGGGGUGAGAAAGUUGAAAGGAAAUUCAGUGGAGUUUCCCAUCCUGCCCCUCUGCUGCCUAGCCCCUUGCUCCAGUGGAAGGAAGAAUCGUGAUCUAGGGAUGUUCUCAUACUUGGGGCUUUAAAUUUCCUUUAUGAAUUGAGAUGGUUGGGUAUGUUUUCUAAGGUACCUUACAUGGUACAGUUCUUUAAAGUUGAAGAUUUAAGUUGUGGCAAAAUUGCAUCAAUUUCAUGUGCACUGAUUUAGGCGAAGAUGCGUAGGAAAAGAGCAAGGAAAUGAGGUGUGAUAGGAUUGGGGUAAUUUCAAAAUGAGUAUUUCUGCCUGGCCUAGUGGUUCACGCCUGUAAUCACAGCACUUUGGGAGGCCAAGGCAGGCAGAUCCCCUGAGGUCAAGAGUUCGAGACCAGCCUGGCCAACAUGAUGAAACCCCAUCUUACUAAAAAAAAGUAGCUGGCAUGGUGGUGGGCUACUUGUGAGGCUGAUGUAAGGAGAACCGCUUGAACCAGGGAGGUGGAGGUUGCAGUGACCAGAGAUUACGCUAUUGCACUCCAGCUUGGACGACAGAGCAAGACUGUCUUAAAAAUGUUUCUAGUUUCACUUAUUCUAAAUUUAUGUCUAACCAUUUUUAGUGAAGUAUUUGAGUCACAUCAGCUAGCCUUUUUCCUACAGCGUUGAAGUAAUUUUCUA